RNAcentral lists this ribosomal RNA (466 nucleotides) under uncultured bacterium. RNAcentral's name for it is "bacterial SSU rRNA". It matches the Rfam family "Bacterial small subunit ribosomal RNA", at positions 331 to 794 of the family's 1533-position model. The record is from RNAcentral.
CCAGACUCCUACGGGAGGCAGCAGUGAGGAAUAUUGGUCAAUGGGCGGAAGCCUGAACCAGCCAAGUCGCGUGAGGGAUUAAGGCCCUGCGGGUCGUAAACCUCUUUUGCCGGGGAGCAGAGGUCCGGACGUGUCCGGGCCGGGAGAGUACCCGGAGAAAAAGCAUCGGCUAACUCCGUGCCAGCAGCCGCGGUAAUACGGAGGAUGCGAGCGUUAUCCGGAUUUAUUGGGUUUAAAGGGUGCGUAGGCGGUUUUUUAAGUUAGUGGUUAAACGUCGGGGCUUCACCUUGAUUUGCCAUUAAUACUGUAAGACUCGAGUUCAGACGAGGUAGGCGGAAUAAGUUAAGUAGCGGUGAAAUGCUUAGAUAUAACUUAGAACUCCGAUAGCGAAGGCAGCUUACCAGACUGCGACUGACGCUGAAGCACGAGAGCGUGGGUAGCGAACGGGAUUAGAUACCCCGGUAAU